Molecule: unclassified non-coding RNA, 387 nt
Filed under: Zea mays
Lineage: Eukaryota; Viridiplantae; Streptophyta; Magnoliopsida; Poales; Poaceae
Description: misc RNA Zm00001eb262960
Source: RNAcentral
CUGAAGCACCACAUCACCAACAGCUUCAAUAUUAGGAAGCAGGUUCAUACAAAAUGAGCACGACUCUUGUAAAGGUUGGACCGUGGGGUGGACAAGGUGGCAAUCCUCAAGACAUCGACGUGCUGCCUGAUGAACGCCUAACAAGCAUGACGAUCCGCAGCGGUGACGUCAUUGAAGCUUAUGUUGACACUGCUGGGAACGACUACACAACAGAUCUUUGGGGUGGUGGAAACGGGAGCUUUACUAAGAUUGAAUUAGGUGACGAUGAGUAUGUGAGGGAAAUUUCUGGCACUUACGGCCCUUACGACAAUGUACUGAAUCUGGUGACGUCACUUAAUAUUAUUGUCACCAACGUUGCUAGCUUUUCAUUUGGAAACGCACAAGGAG